RNAcentral lists this ribozyme (69 nucleotides) under unclassified sequences. RNAcentral's name for it is "HDV ribozyme from F. prausnitzii". It matches the Rfam family "HDV ribozyme from F. prausnitzii". The record is from RNAcentral.
ACUGCUCAGAUGUGCUAACCUCUCCGCGGUGAGCAGUAGGCAACGGUUUUCUAUCCGGCUAAAGCACAU